Molecule: long non-coding RNA, 587 nt
Organism: Ornithorhynchus anatinus (platypus)
Lineage: Eukaryota; Metazoa; Chordata; Mammalia; Monotremata; Ornithorhynchidae
Exons: 3
Source: RefSeq, a predicted model, not a curated record
CCCACCCACGGUGGGGAAUCCAAGGGCUCCCGCUUAAUCAUCUGGACCGCUCCUGGGGCCCGAGGCUCCCCCGGCAGCCUGGAAGACAGGACCGAAAAGAAGGUAAAACUGGAACCGAAGGCCGACGUCAUUCAAGUAGAAUAAAAAAUAGGAUCGGGAGGAAAGCUGCGGAUGAAAAGAGAGCCGCAUGGGUAACAAUUUUGCCGGUGCCUCGUUUCAGAGGUCAGUCCUCAGGGAAGCCCACCGCCAUUCCACUUUGAGCCCCAGAAGAUAUGGUCUCUUUAAGGCAAAUUGAAAGCCCGAACGUGUUAGGUACAUUGCUCAGGGAUGGAGGAGGAGAGGUGGACUGUGUCCGCCAAGCUUCCAGAGAAGAUCCUCGGGGCUCAUUUUCCCUCUGCCCUCGUCUGUUCGCCGUGGAGUUGGCUCUCUCCACACUGUACUCUCCCAAGCGCUCAGUACAGUGCUCUGCACACAUGAAGCACUCAAUAAAUGCAACUGAAUGACUGAAUUAACUCGAUGAUUCUAACAGGGAAACCCAGACCACGGCAAGGUAGGCUGGGGUUGAUGGGAUGAGCAUUUGAGGCACU